RNAcentral lists this ribosomal RNA (497 nucleotides) under uncultured bacterium. RNAcentral's name for it is "partial 16S ribosomal RNA". It matches the Rfam family "Bacterial small subunit ribosomal RNA", at positions 28 to 507 of the family's 1533-position model. The record is from RNAcentral.
GACGAACGCUGGCGGCGUGCCUAAUACAUGCAAGUUGAGCGAUGAAGAUUGGUGCUUGCACCAAUUUGAAGAGCAGCGAACGGGUGAGUAACGCGUGGGGAAUCUGCCUUUGAGCGGGGGACAACAUUUGGAAACGAAUGCUAAUACCGCAUAAUAACUUUAAACAUAAGUUUUAAGUUUGAAAGAUGCAAUUGCAUCACUCAAAGAUGAUCCCGCGUUGUAUUAGCUAGUUGGUGAGGUAAAGGCUCACCAAGGCGAUGAUACAUAGCCGACCUGAGAGGGUGAUCAGCCACAUUGGGACUGAGACACGGCCCAAACUCCUACGGGGAGCAGCAGUAGGGAAUCUUCGGCAAUGGACGAAAGUCUGACCGAGCAACGCCGCGUGAGUGAAGAAGGUUUUCGGAUCGUAAAACUCUGUUGGUAGAGAAGAACGUUGGUGAGAGUGGAAAGCUCAUCAAGUGACGGUAACUACCCAGAAAGGGACGGCUAACUACGUG